UUGUAAGGUUGAGUUCUCUAACACUACUAGAAAAUUAGGCAAUAGCCACCAAAAUUUGCAACCGAAAGAAAAUGGUAGCAAAAUCAGUUACCAUUUUUCAACCAAAAUAUUAUUGGUAGCAACUACAUCUCAAAUAUCCAAAAUAAUAAAAAUUUAUAUAAUACGGUUGUAAAAUGGUGACAAAUAUGUAAAAAUAUAACGUUUUAUUGAAGUUGCCACGGCUUUUUGACGUCAAUUCAGCUUGCAACCGUCACAUGGUCACAAAUUAGUGAAAAAAAUUAAGCGGAAAUAUCAAAAUUGCCCAAAAUUUAAGCGUGAAUAUCAAUUAAGCAGAUCUAGGGUUUUGAUGCUGAAGUCUAGUCUGCUCCCCAAAAUCACUAGAACUAUAAACUUCUCUCCCCCAUCAUUGAUCGAAUCAUCCUCCGCUCAACCAUCACCGAUGGAAUCAUCCUCCGCUCCACCUCACUGUCAACGACGUCCCCUGAAUCACAUGGCAACGAUUUCACACCGUCCGUUCGCACCACCACUCCGUCACCGGAACACUCGCAGUCAUCACCGGCCACUCGUUUCAAGCCCUUAGAUAUAUCAAAAGUUUGACUUAAGGAAGAGCUGGCUAGCUGGGGGAAUUUUAGAGGCGAGGAAUCCUACAUGCUAAUGUAAGUGCUUCUACACUUUAGUUACAUUAUUAAAUGUCACUUAAAUGGUUAUUAAUAUUAUUGUGUGUGUAUAAUUGGGAUACAUAUUUUUGUUGAAUCAAAGUGCUAUUACAUUUACAUAGUGGAAUACAAACGGUAGUGUUAUAAUAUUGUUGAUAUGACAACAUGAAGUUGAGUUAUGUUUUUAAUGCUUAAUUAUAAAUCAAGAUACUUAUAUAACCAAUAGGAUUGAAACUAUAAUUUGAGCUAUAAAAUGAAGAGUGAGCUGGAUAUUUCAAUUGGGAAUUGAACUAGAAUGAGUUUGACUUUUCUCUAAAAUACAUGUUGCUAGUAGUCAUAAGCAGGACCAAGAACAAUAUCCUUGUUGUUGAUCUGGGCAAAACAUUUUUUUAUUUCGUAUCCACUUUGCUACUGCUAUUAUAUUGUGUGCAAAUGUACUUUAUUUGUGUUGACCCGUUAUUCAACCUGCAUAUCUGGCCUUUUGGUCGCAGCUUUUAGGGUUGUAUAGAAUUGCUCUUGCUGGUUACCUUUGUAUGUAUUUAAACCAGCAUAACUGGCUUCUUCUUUUUUUGGUUGUAGCUAUUACACUGUAUAGAUAUAUUUUUUUUGCUGAUUGAUCUGCAUUACAGCCAGUAGGUUCAUCGCUUGGGUCGCUAUUUGUCUCUUUAUCUUAAGAAAUCACUUUUUUUUAAUAAGUGGUGAUUUCAUUUGGGUAAGGUGGCUAUAAUAUGUGGCGUUUGGUUUCUCAUAAUUCUGAGGUUAAAUUCCAUGACAGCCCUUAUUUUUUCUACUUCUUAGUGUUCAUUGCUGCCCUAACAAAAAAGAGAACUAGUUUAUAUUAUGCCAAAUUGCAUGGGGUAAAACGGUAAACUAGUCAUUUUAGUAACUUGAAAUCACAAGAGUUUUGUUAACUUUAAGAAAAAUACAAACUAAAAAUGUACAUGUUUUCGUAACUUACGAGCUCACUUAUUGUGUCGGCUAUAGAUAUCACUGACUCCAAGCUCAUGCUUCCUAACUUCGAUAUUAAUAUGACAUGACACAAAAACCCGACACGAACCUAACACUAAACGCGGGUUUCGGUUUAGUCUAAACGGGUUCGGAUGGGUUUAAUGUUGAACCUGCGAACCCGUUUAAGUAAAGGGUUGGGUUCAUGUCGAACCCAUCAGGUUGGCGGGUUAACCCGUUUACUUAUUUAUAUUAUAUUUAGUUUUUUAAAUGUGUUGUUGGCAGUGAUAUACAUUUGUAUUUUUUUUGUUGUAUAAUUCUAAAUUUAACAUAUUAUUCUGCUAAAAAAAAUUCGGGUUAAACGGGUUGUGUGCGGAUCAACCCGUGAAUAUCCGUGUUGUGUUUGGUUUCAUGUGUCUAACCCGAUUUUCAUGUAUAUUGUGUUAAACUAAGGUUAAUGGUUGUAUUUUAAUUCAUCUUAGGCUCUUAGAGCAUUCACAUCCAAUCCAUCAAAUUAUACAUACAUUCCACUAAAAAACAACUCAUAUAUCAAUAUAUUUCCACUAAAAACAAAUACUUUUUCUCUCUCCUUUCAAUUAAAUAAUAUUAUCAUUACCUUUUUCUCUCACUCCCACUCACAACCACUUUCAAAAUAUAUUAAAAAAUUAUAACGGGUGAACAGUGUCCCCCCAAAUAUACAGAUGAACAGUAACAUUUUCUCUCUCCUCUACUCACAACCACUUUUUAUACCCUUUAUAAAAUAAAAACCCCUCCUCACAUAAUUUGAUGGUUAGGAUGUGAAUGCUCUUAUUCUACAGUUUCCAACAAAUGGUAAGUGGUGAAAAUGUUGGAAGUCGACACAAGCUAAUGAUAUCAUGACUAUGGAAGUCUGUAACAGAUGUACAAGAUCCAUUGUGAAGCGACCGUUUUUCAUUUUUCAUCUACUGGUAUGGUUUAGUUUCAAUGUCAAAAGAAUCCUUGUAAGUUGUUGGUUUGUUUGACCUCAAAAUUCAAACUUGAUCAUUUUUCAUCUACUGGUGUGGUUUAGUUUAUUUUUGAACAACCAAAUGCAACUCUUGGAUCAUGUAUGCAGCUGGUCAAUAACUUAUUAAGACCUGCUAUCAACAACCAACAGAUUCUCUCCGAGUCUAUUUCAUUACUGGUAAGAAUCUUUCUUGAUUCUUACUGAUAUAGACAAAAAAGGGUGCGAUUAGUCUUGAGAAAUUGAGUCAGAUUGAAAAGUUGAACUUAGUUAUCAAGGAGCUCGUUAAGGAAAAAGACGAAGAAAAAGAAAGGUUCAAUGGAAUUAUUGCGGGGUUGUUGGCUGAUAAAGAAAAAGAUAAGGUGGAUAAAGAUGCUAUGCUUGAUAGGAUGUCACAAAUUGAAGCUAUGUUAACAGCUACAGUUCGAAGAUAGGCUAUAAACACUUGAUUUUGAAUGUUUAGAUGUUUAUCUUAUUAGGAUAAUUUUAGUUAUUCUAUGUUUUAGUUGGUAUUUUUAUAUGCUUUUGAAAACGAGAUGUUUUAUAUAAUUUUGUGAUUUUAUUAGACUUUUUUUAUAUUA
Molecule: long non-coding RNA, 3164 nt
Organism: Helianthus annuus (common sunflower)
Lineage: Eukaryota; Viridiplantae; Streptophyta; Magnoliopsida; Asterales; Asteraceae
Exons: 3
Source: RefSeq, a predicted model, not a curated record